GGAGGGAGCGAGCGUUGUUCGGAAUCACUGGGCGUAAAGGGCGCGUAGGCGGCCGAGUAAGUCGUGUGUGAAAGACCGGGGCUCAACUCCGUGUACUGCAUGCGAUACUGCUCGGCUAGAGAAAGGUAGAGGCGAGCGGAAUUCCCGGUGUAGCGGUGGAAUGCGUAGAUAUCGGGAAGAACACCUGUGGCGAAGGCGGCUCGCUGGGCCUUUUCUGACGCUGAAGUGCGAAAGCGUGGGGAGCAAACAGGAUUAGAUACCCUGGUAGUCCACGCCGUAAACGAUGGGCACUAGGCGUUGGGAGGAUUGACCCUCUCAGUGCCGUAGCUAACGCGUUAAGUGCCCCCCGCCUGGGGAGUACGGCCGCAAGGCUG
Molecule: ribosomal RNA, 374 nt
Filed under: uncultured organism
Description: partial 16S ribosomal RNA
Rfam family: Bacterial small subunit ribosomal RNA
Source: RNAcentral